RNAcentral lists this transfer RNA (84 nucleotides) under Puniceicoccales bacterium. Its description in RNAcentral is "tRNA-Leu". The record is from RNAcentral. Lineage: Bacteria; Pseudomonadati; Verrucomicrobiota; Opitutia; Puniceicoccales.
GCUCAGGUGGUGGAAUGCUCGACACGCAUGUUUGAGGUGCAUGUCCCGCAAGGUAGAGGGGCUCGAGUCCCCUCUUGAGCACCA